UACGUAGGGUGCGAGCGUUAAUCGGAAUUACUGGGCGUAAAGCGUGCGCAGGCGGUUCGUUGUGUCGGUGGUGAAAGCCCCGGGCUUAACCUGGGAAUGGCCAUGGAAACUGGCGAACUGGAGUGUGGCAGAGGGGGGUGGAAUUCCGCGUGUAGCAGUGAAAUGCGUAGAUAUCGGGAGGAAUACCGAUGGCGAAGGCAGGUCUCUGGGCUGACACUGACGCUCAUGCACGAAAGCGUGGGGAGCAAACAGG
This 253-nucleotide ribosomal RNA is filed under the name uncultured bacterium. RNAcentral describes it as "partial 16S ribosomal RNA". It matches the Rfam family "Bacterial small subunit ribosomal RNA", at positions 524 to 776 of the family's 1533-position model. The record is from RNAcentral.